This 456-nucleotide ribosomal RNA is filed under the name uncultured bacterium. RNAcentral's name for it is "bacterial SSU rRNA". It matches the Rfam family "Bacterial small subunit ribosomal RNA", at positions 29 to 506 of the family's 1533-position model. The record is from RNAcentral.
AUGAACGCUGGCGGCGUGCUUAAUACAUGCAAGUCGAACGGGGAUCUAGCAAUAGGUCUUAGUGGCGAACGGGUGAGUAACGCGUUGGUGACCUGCCCCGAAGCGUGGGAUAACAGUUCGAAAGGACUGCUAAUACCGCAUGUGGUCAUAGUAGUUAGAGAGCUAUGACAAAAGGAGAGAUCCACUUUGGGAGGGACCUGCGUCCCAUCAGCUAGUUGGUAGGGUAAAGGCCUACCAAGGCGAAGACGGGUAGGGGGCCUGAGAGGGUGACCCCCCACACUGGCACUGAAACACGGGCCAGACACCUACGGGUGGCAGCAGUAGGGAAUAUUGCACAAUGGGCGAAAGCCUGAUGCAGCAACGCCGCGUGCGCGAAGAAGGCCUUCGGGUCGUAAAGCGCUUUUCGGGGAGAUGAGGAAGGACAGUAUCCCCGGAAUAAGGCUCGGCUAACUACGU